AGGGAGAGAGUCGGUGCCUGGGGCUUGGUGGCUGCCUGGAGUUAAACUGUAAUUGCAGCUUGAAGUACAUAACACUUGACUCAAGGCUAUCUUCUAGUUGAAAAAAACAGAAAUAGCAUAGAAGGAAUGUUUUUUUCCAAUGAGAGGAUAAAGCUCAGUAAUAGAUACAACUGCUUCACUUUCAGUCUCACCAUAACACUCCUGCUCAGCUAAACUGGUGAGCUCUAGUCAGAGACCAGUCUUUUCCCUCAGCAUCAGGAGUUGACACCAGGAUUUGAAAGAACAGUGGAACCUCAUACACUAACCAAUCCAAGUACCAUGGCACACUCUGCCCUAGGCUAAGCUGACCUACCAACUCAUAUGCAAUUCCUCAGUAUACUUUUUCUCAUUUGUUCAAAAUGUUUUGCUCUAUGCCCAACUAGUCCAUGUUUCUUACCAAAAUGGGUACAACACAUCAUCUACUUUUUACUUUUAAUACCUAAUUUCUGAUAAGAGGUGUCUUCUAGCUACAGCAUCCUUUGUUACUGGAUUACCAAGAACUGGAUCAGACUGGGCACUACAGGCAUGCCAGAAGUUUGCAGAGCAGCAGCACUGGGAUUCACCAGGGCACGUGCAACCAGGUCGAGCUGUUCUCCCCACCUUUAAUACACUUGGACGGCCUUCUCUGACCUACUGCUUCUGCAUUCAAACAAGCUGUAGAUUUAGUGUUUAUGCAGCAGCUUCGUUGUCUUGCUGUCUCAACCCUCAGCACUAACACGCAGAACUCAGGAGCUGCAAGAUGCUACAAUGAAGGAGGUAAAUACCACAGAACUUCCAGGUGUUAACAGCUUCUGACUAAGCUGAAAGACAGACUCGAAGAAAAGCCAUAAAGAAAUAUUUUUCUCAAGUUCUUUUUUGUUUUUUUAGUAGUGGAAGUUCUAUAUAAAACAACCUACAAAAAAGCUCUAAAAUAGCAAGCCCCAACUCUACAGAAUAAAUAGAUUGUAUCUCCAAGCACAAAAAGCACAAGACAUAGGUACUUCUGAAGCCAUACUCACUUUCUGUGUAGCACUCCUGCACAUACAGUAAGCCUUUAAAAAUACUUACAUUUUCCCAAAAGUUUCACACCAUUGUAUGCCAGCCAGCUGAAUUCUUGUGUAGCUUUCUGCUCACCAGCUCCCACACUGCUACUAAAGAACAGGGAACAGCAGAUCUUGUCAUGAAACAAGCAACUUCCAGGUGGUCCUGAUCAAGUGGGCAGCCUCAUCCAAACAAACUUGGAAAAUAUCAGCUCACCUGGCUGCUACCCAUAGCAAUUCCAUUCUUAAAGAGGACCUGGCUCACACUUGAGAGCUUUGCUGAUGUGAUCAGGAGGUUAAGGAAGGCUACUAGAGCAAAACAAAAAAUGUUGCCUUGUAAACUGGCUCACGUUACACCAGAGAUCCACUUGUGGAUGCCUCUUCUUGUUACAGGAGCCCGAACAGCAAAAUAAUUCUUGUCAACCAUUGCAUCCCCUGCUGUGUGGGUGGGGUGGGAGCAAAGCUGACAAGCUCUUUAAAGAAAAAUGUCUUGGAGCUGUAUCCUAUGUGUCCCUAAGGGUGUGUAAGCUUGCUGACAGGCUUAAAUUCACUUUAACGUAACAGACAGCAUAAAGAGAAAUAUUUUAGGGAUCUGCAAACCUAAAAAGGUCAGUAGUCCACUUAAAGAUGUUAAUUCUUAGUGCUGAAGACUUCCACGACAGCUUAUUCAGCGGCGAGACAUUGUAAUAAGGCCCCCACUCUGGCUUUGGCAUCUUAAAUUAAAACAAAGUAGUAGCAUUCAAAAUGGUGAUUAUGGCUUCAGAUUAAUAUAAUUUUUUGGUACAUAUGUAAACCCAUCCACAGUCACAGCAGAAAGGCUACAGUGCUUUUUCACACUGUUACCAGUAGACACACUAACAUUUGUCUGUGUAAUAAAGCACAACCACCUCAUUUUCCCUCUAGUAUGACUUUAAUAGUUAAAAAUCAAAUCUGUGCAGAGUGUACUUUAUUUGUUCACAUUACAUAUUUGUGGUUAAAAACCACUUAAUCUGACAGUUUAAAAGCAUUCUUUUAAAACAGAAGAAUUAAACAUAGCUUGUGCUAAAAAAAAUCUGCAAGUUACGUGGAUGUAGUAUUAUACAGGAGUAUAAAAAUCAACAGUACUCUACAGAAAAUAUUCUCAAAACAGCAAAUAAAGACUAGGCAUGUAGGCAUGAUCCUGAAACAAACAAAUAUGAAUUAAAAAACAGCUAACAAAAUCUAAAAAAAAAUCCCAAAUACCUGUAUAAAAAAAGCAAGGAUUCAAAGUGCAGGUGCUCCAGUUUUCAUUUUAACAUAUUAUUCAGUAAGUCAAUACAGGAUACUAUUCAUUUCAUAUAAAGUGACAGUGUUCUCAGUAAGAUUUAAACAUUCACUUACAUUAUCUUGCAAAUUUUUUUUUCAUUACUGCUGCUUUACACUGUAGUAAAUAAAGACUUAUGCAAUACAGGCUUUUAUUUUCUUAAUCUAACAAGGAUAUAAUAGGUUGGUGGUAAAGGUUAGUUUUAAGAACUAAGCUAUAUUUGCUGUAGAUCCAGCCUUAGAAGCAGAUAUAUAUACUUGUUUUUCCUAAGCUUUUAAAAACAGACUUCAAAUUUUGUAAAGAGACUCUACCAAUCUGUUCUGAGGCCUGCAUACGCUGUCUUUGGAGAACACUAGCAAAGAUUCCAAGUCCACUGGUUAGGAAUACAGCCCUGGGCAGGAUCAUGCUGGAGAUCUUCCUUUGGUGGCCCCAGCUGGAAAAAACGCUUUCUCUCUGCUGAACCCAAGGAAAGGCAAACGGGCAGAAACCGUCAGAUGUAUCCACACUUGCCUGGUGUGGCAGCUAGGCUGGGACGGAUUUCACACUUUCACUUGAGCAUACCAGUCUCAGGCAGAGGAAGUUAGGAGCCAGGCAGGUGCCACUGAAGUGGUCUUUCAUGUAUUCAGAAAAGUAAAAUCAAAGCAUACGUUCAAAGCCUCUUUGGAAAAA
Molecule: long non-coding RNA, 3009 nt
Organism: Motacilla alba alba
Lineage: Eukaryota; Metazoa; Chordata; Aves; Passeriformes; Motacillidae
Exons: 2
Source: RefSeq, a predicted model, not a curated record